CCUACGGGGGGCUGCAGUGGGGAAUAUUGCACAAUGGGCGAAAGCCUGAUCCAGUCAUGCCGCGUGAGUGAUGAAGGCCUUAGGGUUGUAAAGCUCUGUCGGGAGGGAAGAAAGCUUCGGCUUGACGGUACCUCGCAAGAAAGCACCGGCUAACUCCGUGCCAGCAGCCGCGGUAAUACGGAGGGUGCAAGCGUUGCUCGGAAUCACUGGGCGUAAAGCGUGCGCAGGCGGCUUAUUAAGUCGGAUGUGAAAGCCCUGGGCUCAACCCAGGAACUGCAUUCGAAACUGGUAAGCUUGAGUAUGGGAGAGGGAAGUGGAAUUCCAGGUGUAGAGGUGAAAUUCGUUGAUAUCUGGAGGAACACCGGCGGCGAAGGCGGCUUCCUGGCCCAUUACUGACGCUCAUGGACGAAAGCCAGGGGAGCGAAAAGGAUUAGAUACCCUUGUAGUC
This 448-nucleotide ribosomal RNA is filed under the name Pectobacterium carotovorum. Its description in RNAcentral is "bacterial SSU rRNA". It matches the Rfam family "Bacterial small subunit ribosomal RNA", at positions 338 to 795 of the family's 1533-position model. RNAcentral also lists the same sequence under 1 other name. The record is from RNAcentral. Lineage: Bacteria; Pseudomonadati; Pseudomonadota; Gammaproteobacteria; Enterobacterales; Pectobacteriaceae.